This is a long non-coding RNA of Hordeum vulgare subsp. vulgare (domesticated barley), 796 nucleotides long. RefSeq lists it as uncharacterized. The transcript is spliced from 3 exons. Lineage: Eukaryota; Viridiplantae; Streptophyta; Magnoliopsida; Poales; Poaceae. The record is from RefSeq and is a predicted model, not a curated record.
UCUCUCUCUCUUCUUUAAUUACUUGCCACAUCACCAUGUUUGCUAGUCCCAAGACUAUGUUACUAGCUAUGAUACCCCCACUAUGGCCAACCUAAGACGCUGAGUGUUCCUAUUGCUGCUGUAAGCAUUUGAUUAGAUUAUGUUUUCACCUGGAGUUCAUGACCAAUUGAUCAUGAGCAUCAAUUAUCUUUACUGCUGAAUUUCUCUUAUUUUGGUUAUAUGUUGAUGGCACGACAAAGCGGGCAUACAUCACGAAUAAACUUAGCUCGGGGAAGAGCAUCAAGAGGAUGGACUCACUCGACGGCUUGUACCGCAUGUCCCAUACACAUAGCGAGACCCCGCCGAUGCGACAAGCAAUGUCGAACCUGCAGAAAUAGUCCCCACAGAAUCAUGAGGGGGCCACUGAUGAGUAAGACACAGAGGACGUUGCGGAAGAGGAGGUCCCGUCGGGGGAGUAUAUUAUUACUGAUUACCAAUUCUAUCUAAUCUAACUUUUUUUCAUGUGCCAUGUUUUCUUGUUGCAAAUAUACUGAAUUGGUGUUUGCUUGUAAAUGGAGAGGAAUGGGCACGAAAGGUGGGGACAUGGAAACAGUAGAAGAAAGUGUGCACGUGGUGGCCGAGAGGGAGGGAGCAAAAGGAACACAGCUAUUUGGUGAAAAACAAAAUAUAUGUUUUGCCCGAUGCAAGAACAACAUAGAAUAAGUGAUGCACAUACUUUGCUUGUUUUGUGACAACCACUUGUAUUUUGCUAUGUUUUUUAAACUAAUUAAAUGAUAUCUUCUUAGUUUUUUCAGAA